This 657-nucleotide long non-coding RNA is filed under the name Medicago truncatula (barrel medic). RNAcentral describes it as "long non-coding RNA (MTRU_LNC004139)". The record is from RNAcentral. Lineage: Eukaryota; Viridiplantae; Streptophyta; Magnoliopsida; Fabales; Fabaceae.
GAAAUACAAUAUACUCUUUUGUUCUUCCUUUAUCAUUUUCUCUAUUUUUUUAUGUUGUACAAUAUCUUGCAAUUCUUUAGAUUAUUUUCAUAACAAAUUAUUAGCACGAGACUCUACUAGAGCAAUGACUUAAUUAUCUUAGAGGCUAUAUUCUAAGAAUUUUUCUUCUUCUCAUUUCUUUGCACCGAUUAGUUUAAUUUGAUCAUGUUCUUUUUCAUAGUUUUUAUUUUAGUGUUUGUUUGAUUGAAUUACAUAGGUUGAGGAUGAUCGAGUCAUAAACAAGAGCAAUGGAUUCACAAUUGUUAUAAUGAAAGAUGUUGAAGACGAAAAAGAAAGAGAAAUUGACGCCAUUAGCAAUAAUAACAUAACACAAAAUAAAUGAAAGAAAGAGAACUUGAUACGCAAAUUUUUCUUCAGUUUUUAAUGGCUCUCGUUUAUUUCUUUAAUUGGCAUGUGUUAGCCAAAACAAACAAGGAUCCAAGUUGAUUCAACGACAAACAAUGUUGAAUCAACUGUCAUUUUAAUUUUUAAAUAUAUAAUAAAUCAUUAAAUAUUCUUUGAAUAUAUUGAAUCUGCAAACAAAUUAUAUGUAAGUGUUUUUUUGUUAGUUUUAGUUAUUUUAGUCAUUGAAUAUUCUUUGCAAUUAAAUUAGCAGUC